ACGAAGGAUCCAAGCGUUGUCCGGAUUUACUGGGUUUAAAGGGUGCGUAGGCGGAUGCUUAAGCCAGUGGUGAAAUCUCUCAGCUCAACUGAGAAACUGCCAUUGGAACUGGGUAUCUUGAAUUCGAUUGAGGUAGAUGGAAUAUAACAUGUAGCGGUGAAAUGCUUAGAUAUGUUAUGGAACACCGAUUGCGAAGGCAGUCUACUAAGUCGACAUUGACGCUGAGGCACGAAAGCGUGGGUAGCGAACAGG
This 252-nucleotide ribosomal RNA is filed under the name uncultured bacterium. RNAcentral's name for it is "partial 16S ribosomal RNA". It matches the Rfam family "Bacterial small subunit ribosomal RNA", at positions 525 to 776 of the family's 1533-position model. The record is from RNAcentral.